CAAGAACAUUUGUUAUUUCUACCCAGGCGGAAAGCAAACAGCAGCAAGAGCAGCAGAAGAUUCAAUGUCGGAACAGCCUACAAACUGCAGGCUGUAACCUCGACGGUAUUGAUUGAGUGCACUUGUCCAUCUUCAUUUUUAACGGGCACAUGUCAAGAAAGGAGUGGCCAUUCCAGGAGAACUAGGUGGAACCUGCAUAGACUUUUCUGAUGUGGCCUUAGAAGCCCUGAAGCCUCGUGUCCACUGAACCCUGCUGGCCAAGCAAAAUAAAAUGCGUGAAGAACUGUGGAGAUGGCCAGGCAAAGGAGGAUCUUCUUGGCUUCAUUUGUACCAGAGCACUUUAUCAAGACUGAAUAUAAUUUUGCUGGCCUAUUUAUGAGCUAAAAAUAGACAUUAUUUUGUUUGGCCCAUUUUCCAUCUUAGGCUCUCCUGGGAGCCCAGGUGAACUGUGGCUCAUUUUUAACUCCCUCCCAUCAUUGCGUAUUUUCCGUCGACCCAGGCUGCAUGGAAGUGAAAGUCACUUUGUACUGCCAGUCGCACUGGAGCGCGCUGAAUCUCCCAGAAGCAGGGAAAGAAAAAGGCCCGUGGAGAGGACUUUCCAUUCUUAGCGAAACCUAGCUGCUGUGGCCUGAGGGGCUAAUCAAGCAUUAUAAACACUGAUUAAAUAAGUUUGGAUGGGAGCAAAUUCUGCAUCUUCCGCCGCUGACUCGUGGGUCCUGAGGGGACUGCCCCUCCUACCCAGAUCUUGCUGUGGGUAGAAUUUAUGAAACUGUAAUCCAGCGACCUUCGUGUGGUCUCCAGACAAUCUCCUCCUGAGCUUAGAACUUUAGAGCUGAAUGUUACCUUAUAGAUGAUCUAGAUCCUUGCUACUGAAAACGUAACGCGCGGAACAGCAGACGGCCCUCAUCAGGAAUCUCGUCAGACAUGUAGAAUUCCCACCCCAGCCCUACGGAAUCAGAUCACGCCUUAAACGAGAUUUCCAGGUGGUUCACAUGCGCAUUGAAGUUCAAGAAGCAAUGGUGUGGAUCAAGACCCUUGUUUUAUAGGUUAGGAUGCUGUGGCCCCGAUCUGGGCAGUUAUUAGCUAGCAUCCCACAACAACCGUCAGAGCCUGCCAUUCUCCUUUCUCCAGGAUGCUGCGGUCCCUCCAUAUGACACGGCUUCUCUGGACUCUUGAAUGAAGAGUUAUUUGUAUAGUAUUUGCGUUCGUUAGUGGGAAAGGAAAUAGCACCUUGUUCACAUAAACAUAACCUGUGUCUGUGUUUCCAUGAUCUCUGAUAUAACUUGUUGAAAACGCCUAGCACAGUGCCUGUCUAUGUGGUAGGUGCCCAACUGACACUGUGAUCGUAUUGAUAAAAUUAUUAAUACUAAUAGUUGUUAUUGUCAUUAAUUUUGUGCUUGCAGUAAAAGUAACAGAAAAUAGUGAAAAUUUUCCUUGGAGGUUGC
This 1445-nucleotide long non-coding RNA is filed under the name Equus caballus (horse). Its description in RNAcentral is "lncRNA (ENSECAG00000031439.3)". Lineage: Eukaryota; Metazoa; Chordata; Mammalia; Perissodactyla; Equidae. The record is from RNAcentral.